AGAGUUUGAUCCUGGCUCAGAUUGAACGCUGGCGGCAUGCCUAACACAUGCAAGUCGAACGGCAGCACAGGUAGCAAUACCGGGUGGCGAGUGGCGGACGGGUGAGCAAAGCAUCGGGAUCUACCCUGACGUGGGGGAUAACCUCGGGAAACCGGGACUAAUACCGCAUACGUCCUACGGGAGAAAGCGGGGGACCUUCGGGCCUCGCGCGGCAGGACGAACCGAUGUGCGAUUAGCUAGUUGGCGGGGUAACGGCCCACCAAGGCGACGAUCGCUAGCUGGUCUGAGAGGAUGAUCAGCCACACUGGGACUGAGACACGGCCCAGACUCCUACGGGAGGCAGCAGUGGGGAAUAUUGGACAAUGGGCGCAAGCCUGAUCCAGCAAUGCCGCGUGUGUGAAGAAGGCCUUCGGGGUUGUAAGCACUUUUAUCAGGAGCGAAAUACCACGGGGUUAUACCCUAUGGGGGCUGACGGUACCUGAGGGAUAACCACCGGGCUACUUUCGGGGCAGCAGGCCGCGGGUAUUACGAAGGGGUGCAAGCCGUUAUCCGGAAUUACUGGGCCGUAAAGGGGGCCGUAGGCGGUUGGUUAA
This 593-nucleotide ribosomal RNA is filed under the name uncultured bacterium. RNAcentral describes it as "bacterial SSU rRNA". It matches the Rfam family "Bacterial small subunit ribosomal RNA", at positions 8 to 586 of the family's 1533-position model. The record is from RNAcentral.